UCAAUUCCUGUAUCUGUGCUAAACUAACC
Molecule: non-coding RNA, 29 nt
Filed under: Mus musculus (house mouse)
Lineage: Eukaryota; Metazoa; Chordata; Mammalia; Rodentia; Muridae
Source: RNAcentral